GAACAUUGCAGAAAUAUUAAAAAUGGGUACUUAAACCAUACAGUAUCCAAACAUUUUAUUAUACACAACAAAGAUCCACGCCUACUAAAAUGUAUAGGUAUAAAAAAAUGUUCUACCUCCUGGCGUGGAGGUGAUAUAAAAAAGCUGCUUGGUAAAACAGAGAUGGAAUGGGUGUAUAAACUUAAGACCCUUAUACCCCAUGGUCUUAAUGCAG
Molecule: non-coding RNA, 214 nt
Organism: Pelobates cultripes (western spadefoot toad)
Lineage: Eukaryota; Metazoa; Chordata; Amphibia; Anura; Pelobatidae
Source: the annotation of a GenBank genome assembly